GGAGGCGUGUUGUCACCGGUGUGGCGCCUGGUCUUCAAAACCAGUGGACGGCAGAGAUGUCGUUGGUAGGUUCGACUCCUAUACGCCUCCGCCA
RNAcentral lists this transfer RNA (94 nucleotides) under Deltaproteobacteria bacterium. RNAcentral's name for it is "tRNA-Sec". It matches the Rfam family "Selenocysteine transfer RNA". The record is from RNAcentral. Lineage: Bacteria; Pseudomonadati; Myxococcota; Myxococcia.